RNAcentral lists this ribosomal RNA (253 nucleotides) under uncultured bacterium. RNAcentral's name for it is "partial 16S ribosomal RNA". It matches the Rfam family "Bacterial small subunit ribosomal RNA", at positions 524 to 776 of the family's 1533-position model. The record is from RNAcentral.
UACAUGUGGGGCAAGCGUUGUUCGGAAUUACUGGGCAUAAAGGGUGCGUAGGUGGUUUGUUAAGUCAGGGGUGAAAUCCCCGGGCUUAACCUGGGAACUGCGCUUCUAACUGGCAGGCUUGAGUGUGGCAGAGGGGGGUGGAAUUCCACGUGUAGCAGUGAAAUGCGUAGAGAUGUGGAGGAACACCGAUGGCGAAGGCAGCCCCCUGGGCUAACACUGACGCUCAUGCACGAAAGCGUGGGGAGCAAACAGG